UACGUAGGGGGCAAGCGUUGUCCGGAUUUACUGGGCGUAAAGGGCGCGUAGGUGGUCCUGUAUGUCUGCCGUGAAAGCGUACGGCUCAACCGUAUUUUGUCGGUAGAAACUGCAGGACUUGAGGCUGGGAGGGGCUGGUGGAAUUCCCUGUGUAGCGGUGAAAUGCGUAGAGAUGUGGAGGAACACCGAUGGCGAAGGCAGCCUCCUGGGCCAACACUGACGCUCAUGCACGAAAGCGUGGGGAGCAAACAGG
Molecule: ribosomal RNA, 253 nt
Filed under: uncultured bacterium
Lineage: Bacteria
Description: partial 16S ribosomal RNA
Rfam family: Bacterial small subunit ribosomal RNA
Source: RNAcentral